CCUACGGGAGGCAGCAGUGGGGAAUAUUGCGCAAUGGGCGAAAGCCUGACGCAGCGACGCCGCGUGAGGGAUGAAGGUCUUCGGAUCGUAAAGUUCUUUUCUAAGGGAAGAAGAAAGUGACGGUACCUUAGGAAUAAGCCUCGGCUAACUACGUGCCAGCAGCCGCGGUAAUACGUAGGAGGCAAGCGUUAUCCGGAAUGACUGGGCGUAAAGGGUGCGUAGGUGGUUUGACAAGUUAGUAGCGCAACUCCGGAGCUCAACUUCGGAACUACUACUAAAACUGUUGGAUUUGAGUGCAGGAGGGGCAAUCGGAAUUCCUAGUGGAGCGGUGGAAUGCGUAGAUAUUAGGAGGAACACCAGUGGCGAAGGCGGAUUGCUAGACUGUAACUGACACUGAGGCACGAAAGCGUGGGGAGCAAACAGGAUUAGAUACCCUUGUAGUC
RNAcentral lists this ribosomal RNA (443 nucleotides) under uncultured bacterium. RNAcentral describes it as "partial 16S ribosomal RNA". It matches the Rfam family "Bacterial small subunit ribosomal RNA", at positions 338 to 795 of the family's 1533-position model. The record is from RNAcentral.